CUUUUUUGGAUUGAUUCAUAGGCUAGGCUUACGGCCAACAAUGAAAUUAAUAGUAGUACUAUGGUGAGUGUAGUUGGUGGGUUAUAUGUGAAGCUCUGGGUAGAGGCAGGACUAGUACUAUUUCUAGAUCACAUAGUAAGAAUGCAAUGGCGACUAGGCAAACUUUUAUGGAGAAAGGUAGACGGGCCAGUCCUAGUCGGUCAAAUCCGCAUUCGUAGGGACUUGGUUUUUCUGCAUAAAUAUUUAAUUGGGGUAAUCAGAAUGCAAUUAACAGGAGUAGAGUAGAUAAUAGCAUGUUAGUAAGUAGGGCUCAAUGAUAUUUAUUAUUCCUUUUUGGAUUAUACCAAAACUGGUUGAUUGGAAGUCAACUGUACUGAUUAAUACUAAAGGAGUAAGAUCCUCAUCAGUAAAUAGAGACAUAGAAGAGCCAUACGACAUCUACGAAGUGUCAACACCAGGCAGCGGCUUCAAACCCGAAAUGGUGAUUAGAUGUGAAGUGGAGUUUUAGUUGUCGCAGGAAGCGAACAAUGAGGAAAAUAUAGCCAAUAAUCAUGUGAAGUCCGUGGAAUCUUGUGGGCUAUAAAGCAAAUAGAGCCGUAGGCUCCAUCUGAAAUUGUAAAGGAUGUUUCGUAACAUUCUGAGGCUGGGAGUAGUGUGAAAUACACCUCUAGGGAGAUUGCGAUAAAUCAGGCUUGCAGCGUGUGUUUUCCAUUACCUUCUAUUAAGCUCUGAUGGGCUCAAGUGACACCUGUUCCCCGGGCUGCUUCUCUGAAACUUCAUUCGCUGAGGCUGUGCUGGGCUUCCUUUGUCAGGAUGAUUUUGGCCUCAGGUAGACCCUAUCCUUGCUGUAAUGCCCAGUGCGGUGGUGAGCAGGUGAUUCUCCAACAUGACAGUUGCUCCGGGGGUGGUUUUCCUGCAGCUUGACUGGUCAGCCCAUCACUGACCUCUUCAGAGACCUUGAUGCUUUCUCUGUCUCUGCUCUGUCGUCUGCUUUUCAGCCCAGCCACCCCUCGCAUGCUGCGUGUUGGCUGCAGAGACGCCCCGCAUCUCGUCGUAAAGGCACAGGUGAGCCAGGAGGAAAGAAACAGCCUCCCUUGAAUCUUCUAGAGUUUGGUCAAAUGACUUUUGCCUCCACCUGUGGCUGCUGCACUGCCCUCUGGGACACCCUGGAGACGGCGUUUUCACCUGCCUUGUCUCAGCGUCUGCCGUCCCUGCUCUGAGCAAAGCGUUUCUAGCAUUUCCAACAUGUCCGACGGUUGUUAUGUCCACCGCGACCGCCCUCUGCCUGCCCAUCUGUCUGGGCUUUAUUUUUGGACUCGAGUGCAGUAAUUGAAGAUUUCUGCUUCUGGCUAUGAUGGAUUAGUUUGCAGCUGACCAAACUGAAAGCCAAGAACACAAGAAAUGGUAAAUACAAUGAGAACACAUUUUUGAAGGUACCAGAGAGUUAUCAAGGCAGUUAGAACGUGUACAGCCAAGAACCUGGAGAGAAGGAAAACACAUUGGAGGACAAGAGAGAACCUAAAUAAGACACGUACCUGGUGCGUUUUAUGAAAUGCCACAAACGUGACUCAGAACCAAAGCGGAUCAAUCGCCUUACGUGUGUGCAGAUGGCAGUGGAAUUCUAGUCAUGAACCUUCUGGCCUCCUUGGGAAAGAGCCUGAGCUGGCCCGCUGGGGUAUGAGAGGGAGAAGCUUAGCCAGACCACACCCGUGGGAGGAGAGAUGCCUCGCUGACCCACAGGUGCUCUACACAGAAGAGAGAGGCCAGCUGAGAUCAGAGAGCUGCCCAGCUGGCCUGUAGACUAGGUGCAGAGCACUAUUUGCUUUUCUGUGCUCCAUACCCAUCACCGUCAAGUUGAAAUCAGAAUAAUUUCAAGAGCAGGCUCGCUUUGGCUGCACGUGUACUAAAGUUGGAACAAUGCAGAAAGAUUAGCGUGGCCCCUCAGCAAGGAUGAUGUGCAGAUCCACGGAGACUAAUUUCAGGAGCUAAAUCGGAGUGUUGUGAAUAGUCGUAGAAGCAACCGUGAAUAGCGUCUGUCACAGAGAAAUGAGCGGUCCUUGGCCACAGCACAUAAAGCUGCUCCAUGGAGCUGGGGAGCGUGCCCUGUGGUCUGUGCAGGGGCUGAAAAUGUCAAGACUUGAGAAGGACUCGUCUCCUCUGUUCCCUUCAGGAUGUUUUAAUGAUUACCAUGUGAUUACAGAUACACUGUUUUACUUCUUGAAAGACGUGGGGAGAUUAAAGCAAACAGACAACUGACAUCAAAUUGCUAAAUUAAAGGAGGAAGCUCCCGUGAACUCUGGGCUGGACGCCGUCCAGAAAGGGAUCUACCUUGCUGUGACAUGCCUUGAGUCAUCCGCUCCUCUGGCCGGGCCCGUCAUUCUGGAAUCUCUAAAAUGCUUCUAUGAGAGAAAGACAGAACAUGAGUGGGGGAGGGGCAGAGAGAUGGAGGCACAGAAACCCAGGUAGGCUCCAGGCUCUGAGCUGUCAGCCCAGAUCCCGACGUGGGACUUGAACUCACACACCACAAGAUCAUGGCCUAAGCUGAAGUCGUACACUUAACUGAGCCACCUGAGCACCCCUAAAUCUUUUUAUAUGUAAGAAAAGGUAUGUCUAGAAAUCCCUUGAGAUUCAUUUUAUAACAGGAUAAUACAUAGAUAAAUUACUUUAAUGUCUUCUAUCCUUCUUUUGCAUAUAAAAAUUAGAAAGAUGAACUCACUCAGCCAGGCACAUAGUUAGACAAUAAGAAAUUAGGAGAAGCCCCAAAGGCCGGGGCAUCUUUUUUGCAGUUUGUCUCCUGUUUAUUUGUACAUUUCAGUCAACAGGAAACUGCAGUUCAUUCACUAUACAUAGAAUCUUUUCAUCUGUAAGGUCACAAAUAACAUAUAAAAGUAUGCUUUCAUACAGAAUGUAUUACAAUAUAUGCAUAAGCUCACGUGCGUGCAAAGAUGUAAUUUUCAAUGAAAAAUGCAUGCAAAUAUUAUUAUAUUGGAAUCCAUUUUGGCUAAAUAUAGGAAGACACAUGUUAGGUAAGGCUGCCACAAACUUAGGAAAAUAGAAUAAACAUCGUAAGUUCUGGCCAUUGCAUUUGAAUCAGUACUGAAAUGAGUAUUGUAACCUAUAGUGAAAAAUGAAUGGAGCUUUCCGUGAUGAUUUUCCCCAAAGUGUGUUCUUUGGACCAUGAGUGUUAGAGCUGGUUCACAGUAAGUGUUUUAGUGGAAAGGGGUACUUUGGCCAAAUACGUUUAUAAACUCUUUGGUUGGACAACAUUAUCCACUUUCCACUGUUGUGUAAGAGUUCAGGUGCUUCAGGGUACACAAGUGCCCAGUGCAUGUCCCAGAGGGAAGGUAGACAGCAAUUCUCUGUUCCAUUUGACCAUGGGACUGUUAUGUAAAUGAGGAUCGCACAAGAGCUGUGUUGCUUGGAAGAUGUGUGUAAACUGUUUUACAUUAUGUUGUCCACACAUGUCAUUUAUUACAUGUUAUGUGCGAUCUGUGCAUUUAAUUCCAUAAGGCUUUAGUGGACAUAUUUCAUACACAUGUAGAAGUAUAAAUAUAUAUAAUGGAAUGUAUAUGUGUAUAUAGUUAAGUACACUUUCUAGACGGAACCUUAAUUUUCCUCUAUGGGAACAAAUCCUUUGAGUCCAGACUCACCUGAACAAUAAAAGUUUAAUUUCAACUUGCCCUGUGUAUAGGGUAGACAUUUCGUAAGGAUGAAUCAGACCGUAAAUGACAGUAAAACAUUGCAGGUUAUGUCAGGGACUCCUUUUUUAUCACUCUGUUUCCUACAAGGUGAAGAUUUGUAGGUGUAUUAAAGGCGAGUCAGUUGAUGACGUGUACUUUGAGGUCUUGAUUCACACAUCUCAAAAAAACCAGAAUAUUAUUUUUCAGCAUUGUUUCUUAUAGGAAGGUCUGUUUGAAAAUGAGCGUUCGCCUUUAAGGCUGCUGUGCAUGUCUUAAAACACUGUAGAAGAGGAGCAGAUCUGUGGAGAAAGUAUUUUAAUGAGCCAACUUCUAGGGAUGAGCAAAGUCAGGCAAACUGUCAAAAACGAGCCGCUAAGCUCACUGGGUGGUGUUCUCCAAAUGCAAGUCAUUCUCUAUUUCGCUCCUCUGAAAAUAAUUUAACACCAUUGUUCUUGUUUACCUACAGUGAUCACCAUUUAAAAUGUAGCUGAGUAGUUUUUCUUCUUUCCCAGGCUACACUUGGUGAAAUUGAUCCACCCAGCAGGUUGUGUGUGUGAUGACACAAAGAGGAGUCAGAAAUCGCACACCUCCCAAUUAAACAGCUUAUUCAUGGUCAAUAUAUUUGCCAUCCAUCCCUGUAGUGGCGUUGUAUCUUCUGUAAUUCACACUGUAUCACAGACUAUUCGUGCGAGCUAAUUAUAAUAAAACAUUGAGGUUACUUAAGAGGUGAUUUUUUAAAAUACUGUUAUAGCUGAAGACUCACUAGAUUCAGAUAAAAAAGACUAUUUCGGGGUGUCAAUUAUGGUAGCCCCCAGUCACGUAUGGCUAUUUAAGUUUAAAUUGAAUAAAAUCAAAUGCUGCUAAAUAGCUUCCUAGCUUGGUAGUAAUCUUUCUUUAUUCUUUGUAAUUUUUUUUUUUAAUUAAUCAGGAAAGAGAAGUGCAAGUGGGGAAGAGGUGAAGAGAGAGGGAGAGAGAGAAUCCCAAGCGGGCUCCACGCAGUCAGUGCAGAGCCCCAUGCGGGGCUUGAUCCCACGUCCCGUGAGAUCAUGACCCGAGCCAAAAUCAAGAGUUGGACACUCAAUCAGCUGAGCCACGCAGAACCCCAGGUAGUUAUCUUUCAAUAUGCAAUAACCACAUGUAGCUUUGGACUAUUAUACUGGACAGAGUAGAUACAGAACAUUUAUAUCAUCACAGAAAGUUCUUUCAACAGCCCCAUAGAUCCUCUUGUUCCUAGAUGAGAUCCCAAAGUAUAUGAAGGUAAAAUUCUAUGUCCAAAGACAUCAGGGACUUGUUCAAGUUCAUAUUACGUAACUUACUAAAUUUAAAUGGAAUCUGGCUGUGUUUGUAACAGUGUGAGCAUACAUAUUCUUGAGUGUUGUUAUAAAGUGAUUGGAUAAAGUGAUUAUCAGUAGUCUUAAAAUUGGAUUUAGAUACGUGAUUUUUAAAAUGUUUCUGAGGGGCUCCUGGCUGGCUCAGUCAGUAGAGCAUGUGACUCUUGAUCUUGGAGUUAUGAGUUUAAGUCCCACAUCGGGUGUAGAUAUUACUAAAGAAAUCUUUUUUAAAUAAAAACAAAACUUUCUAAAAUGCAUUGGAAUAUAAUUUCCAUGAUACCUCCAUGUUAAGUGCAGAUUUCCAUGAAUUAAAAAAAUGUACAUACUAAUUAAUAUAAGCACCAACACCUCCAGAUAGAGAAUUUCACCUCAAGAGGUUCUUUUGGGACCCUGCCCAGUCAAACCUACACCAAGGGCCAGCCUCAGGCAACCAGUAACCUACUCUCUGUCAGGAUAGAUUACACUUCUCUUUUCUGGAGUUCAAGUCCUACACAUAUAUUUAGUGUCCUUUUUCCUGUUUGUUUUAAAUUCUGUAUGCUUGCUAAACUCACUUUUUUUUAGUAGUUACUUUCUUCAUGUAGAUUCUUUCGGAGUUUCUACAUAGAUGACCAGGCUGGUUUUUUGUUGUUGUUGUUGUUUUUAACAUUUAUUUAUUUUUGAGACAGAGAGCCAGCAUGAACAGGGGAGGGUCAGAGAGAGGGAGACACAGAAUCCGAAGCAGGCUCCAGGCCCUGAGCUGUCAGCACAGAGCCCGACGCGGGGCUCGAACUCGGGGACUGCGAGAUCAUGACCUGAACUGAAGUCAGACGCCCCACCGACUGAGCCACCCGGGCGCCCCAGUGACCAGGCUAUUUGUAAAGACGGUUCCGGAUCUUCAUUUCCAGCAGUGUGCCUUUUAUUUCUUUAACCGUAUUUCUUUGGCUAGGAGCUCCAGCACAACAGUGAAAGGAAUUGUAAGAGUGAACGUUUUGGGGCACCUGGGUAGCUCAGUCGGUUGAGUGUCUGUGUCUAGAUUUGAGCUCGGGUCCUGAUCCCAGGGGUGUGGGAUCGAGCCCUUCAUUGGGGUAGGCACUGGGCAAGGAGCCUGCUUAAGAGUCUCUCUCUUUCCUCCUCGGCC
Acinonyx jubatus (cheetah) is the source of this 6128-nucleotide long non-coding RNA. RefSeq lists it as uncharacterized. NCBI's taxonomy places the organism in Eukaryota, Metazoa, Chordata, Mammalia, Carnivora, Felidae. The record is from RefSeq and is a predicted model, not a curated record. The transcript is spliced from 11 exons.